UCCGGUUGAUCCUGCCAGACCCCACCGCUAUCGGGGUGGGACUAAGCCAUGCGAGUCGGCGCCCUCCAGCCACCGGGGAGGGCGCGGCGGACGGCUCCGUAACACGUAGCUAACCUACCCUCAGGAUGGGAAUAACCCCGGGAAACUGGGGCUAAUUCCCAAUAGGUGAGGGCGCCUGGAAUGGUCCCUCACCGAAAGGGCUCCGGAACCAUGCUUCCGGAGCCGCCUGAGGAUGGGGCUGCGGCCGAUCAGGUAGUUGGUGGGGUAACGGCCCACCAAGCCUAAGACCGGUACGGGCCGUGAGAGCGGGAGCCCGGAGAUGGGCACUGAGACAAGGGCCCAGGCCCUACGGGGCGCAGCAGGCGCGAAACCUCCGCAAUGCGCGCAAGCGUGACGGGGCUACCCCGAGUGCCGCCCGCUGAGGGCGGCUUUUCCCCAGUGUAAACAGCUGGGGGAAUAAGGGGAGGGCAAGUCGGGUGUCAGCCGCCGCGGUAAUACCCGCUCCCCGAGUGGUGGGGACGAUUAUUGGGCUUAAAGCGUCCGUAGCCGGCCUGGCAAGUCUCUCGUUAAAUCCAACGGCCUAACCGUUGGACUGCGGGAGACACUGCCAGGCUAGGGGGCGGGAGAGGCCGGCGGUAUUCCCGGGGUAGGGGUAAAAUCCUGUAAUCCCGGGAGGACCACCAGUGGCGAAGGCGGC
RNAcentral lists this ribosomal RNA (697 nucleotides) under uncultured sediment archaeon. RNAcentral describes it as "bacterial SSU rRNA". It matches the Rfam family "Archaeal small subunit ribosomal RNA", at positions 1 to 676 of the family's 1478-position model. The record is from RNAcentral.